Molecule: small nucleolar RNA, 91 nt
Organism: Camelus dromedarius (Arabian camel)
Lineage: Eukaryota; Metazoa; Chordata; Mammalia; Artiodactyla; Camelidae
Gene: SNORD35B
Product: small nucleolar RNA, C/D box 35B
Source: Ensembl
GGCAGAUGAUGUCUACUGUUUUCACGAUGGUCUUCAGAUGCCCACCACGGGCAUUGCUGAGAAAGUUGCUUGGUACAGAUGAUGCCAGAAG